GAUCCUGCACCGGGAGAGGGCGAAUAAGGUUUUUGGAAAGCGCUCUGCGCGACUGCUCGAUCGCUUCCAUUCGUCUUCGCUGCAUCAACAACACGGCGCGUCUUCUUCUUCGUCGGGCGUGCGCCGCGCGUCGUCGCCAGAAAUGAAAGAACAGGCUGGUCUGUCCCAUCGUCAUAAAAAAGGAAACCACUGGGAGCAGCCUCUACAGAUGAGGAGCCAAGUAGCAGCGCUUCCGCUUCAAGUGCAUGAAAAAGUCAAGUUGCUAGUGCAAGGUCUCUAAGAUGAAGGAAAUAUAUACUGGUGAUCACAGUUCCCAGAUGGCAUAUAUAUGUUUUGUGGCUUGCAGCACUUUGCAUAAAUGUAUUUGCAGUUCUGCUUGCCAUCAUGCUCUCUGGAUCUUUUUCUAAUGGCGUAAUGGAUAGUUAGUAGUCUCUCUUAGCUCUGAUGUGUUUAGAUUACUAGUUAGUGACUUAGUGUAAAGUGUCUCUUGGACUUGUCUCUUGGACUUUUAUGCAAUUUUGUCCGGUGAAA
Panicum virgatum (switchgrass) is the source of this 531-nucleotide long non-coding RNA. RefSeq lists it as uncharacterized. The record is from RefSeq and is a predicted model, not a curated record. The transcript has 2 exons. NCBI's taxonomy places the organism in Eukaryota, Viridiplantae, Streptophyta, Magnoliopsida, Poales, Poaceae.